CGCGGCCUGGUUGGGCUGCCGCGUCCAGAACGCGGCGUUUUUGGUGACGUCGCGCCCGGGAGGGAGUAGUUUGCUCCGGGGCGGCUCGAGCAGCCCGGUUUCACGUGGGCUGUGAACAGAAGCCUGACGUCCAGGCCGCGGCGCCAGACCAAGUCCUUUGGCCUUGCGAGCAGGCUUCGUGAUGGCGGGAGCAAAGCCGUGACUGACUGCGGCCCAUUGAGGCUUACCCCUUAUGGUCUCAGUGGGCCUGGGUCUCCUGACCUAAUGAAAGUGGGAGAAGUAAAAACGAUUGAAAAGAGAGGAAUACGCUGGAAGUUUAAGGAAGCUGAUAGGCAAAAGCAAACAGUAGGGAUCCCAUCCAGGACACCGCAUUAGUUGUCAUGUCUCCUCAGAUGCAAUCACCAACCACUCUGAACCAGUCUGAGCCCCACCACAAGAGCAGCACAUGUGAAGAUGGGCCAAAAUUGUCCAAGAGAUGACCUUUGCCUCAUUUAAACGCUAAAGGCUCUACCCCAGGAGGAGCUUAGGCCUUAU
Molecule: long non-coding RNA, 534 nt
Filed under: Equus caballus (horse)
Lineage: Eukaryota; Metazoa; Chordata; Mammalia; Perissodactyla; Equidae
Description: lncRNA (ENSECAG00000039824.3)
Source: RNAcentral